Molecule: long non-coding RNA, 2838 nt
Organism: Micropterus salmoides (largemouth bass)
Lineage: Eukaryota; Metazoa; Chordata; Actinopteri; Centrarchiformes; Centrarchidae
Exons: 2
Source: RefSeq, a predicted model, not a curated record
AGAAAUGCUGUUGAGAAGAAAUGAUUGUUUUUCAGAUGCCUCAUACCAUGUGGUAUUCAGGAGUUGUUAUUGUGAAAAGCUGGAUCUCACUCAGUCACAAUGUCACAAACAACACAGGCUGCUUGGUACCAGGAAAUACUUACAUUUACAGCAGAAAAGGGCCUCUUUGCCUUCACUUUGCGUCAGUAGUCUCGUCCCCUUCCCAAAUUAAAUGACAUCCACCGUUCAAAAUGACAGUCCUCGUCCAAGGAAGUCCUCUGAUCUUGCAAAGGGUAUUCCUCCUCAGAAUAGAAGCCAGAGAUGUGCUUCCCUCUAAGCCCAAACAAAGUGAGGACAGCUCCAUGCAGUCAGCAACAAUCCUCUAGCUGGGUUUGGUAUUUUGCUGGUGACUGUGUGUUUGUGUGUCAGUCAGUGCAUGUGUGUGUGCACGCGUAUUUAUGUCUGUGUGUGUGUGUGUGUGUGUGCGUAAGGGAGGAUCCUACUCUCCCUCUAACCAUCUGCUCCCUCAAUUGAGAAAGAAAAAAAUCAGAGACAAAGGUGGUGUGUUUGUGCAAGUAUGUCUGCCUGUGUUGUAUUCUCUCUCCCACCUCCAGCUGGCUUUGUCGUGGCAGGCUUCCCCCCGUCCUCUUUCAAUCCCUAAUGGUGCUCAGAGAGCCUGAAAUUCGCCUUUCCCUUCCUCCCCUUGCUCUUGCUCUUUCUCGGGUUUGUAAACAGAUCUCUGCUCAUGUGACCAGCCGUUUUGCCUCGCAACUCUCCUCUCCCUCAGCCCUCCCUCGCUUCCUCUAUCCUCCAAUCUGUAGGCAGAAGGAAGGCAGAAUGAGCCAGACACUGACGAAUGGGGCGCCUGCAAGCAUGCUGAUGUGUUUGUGUCUGUAUGCGCACACCCCUGUGCAUGUAUAUGUGAGAGGGAGACAAGAGAGACAUUUGCAGCAAAGUCAAGGGAGACCUUGGUCGGUAACAUGCGCAUGGCUGAUGUCCUGACAACCACAACAAAGCCAUCUGUGUGAAGUGGAGGUCAGCAAAAGAAGAGAUGAUGCAACCUCAGUCAACAUUUCCUUCCUUCACAUGCGCACAGAUUGAAUUUUAAGACCCUCGGCAGAUUAUUUUUCAUGUUUGCUUUGUGUGAUCUAUAUAUAAACAUCAUGUCACUCUUGAGGAGGAAGAACAAGGCAGGUAGAGCAGCAAAGAGGGGGGGAGGUGUCUCUGUCGAUAGAGGGAACAGAGGAGGAAGCAAGAUGUGAAGGAAAAUAAAGUCAAGAGGAAAAAGAGGGAGAGACACAGAGAAAAAUCACAGCUUGGACAAAGACAUUGCCUGCACGUCCACCCCCACACCAGCGGCCCUGGCCGCCAAUUCGCUGAGGGAACAGCUGCUGGGCUACUGGGCGAGCUGUUAGACGGUCAAGGGGAGUGCUGCUUCGCCAAUCCCCAGGGGAGGGAGGGAGGCUUCAAUGGGAUCAAUGCCAUUUUCAUUCACCCUCCCUUCCACCCCCCCUUGCUAGUAAUGACUUUACUGCUGAAUACUGAGCAACAGCUGGUUUGACUGCACAGAUGCAUGAGCAUAAAUACAGCCCUGAAUAUACACUGCAUGCAUUGUUGGGUGUUUACAGGUUUUAGAAUUAAUGUGUGUUGUUGCCACAGAGUUGUGUUGUCAUUGUUGGCAUGCUGAAGGGUGGUGGUUUUGGUAACAGCAUGCCCUCUUGUGAAUUAUGAUGAAAUCACCAUUGUAGCAAUAGCUUCCUGCAGAUAUACAGGAUAUGAAAGUGUUCACAGGUUAUUCAUAUCAGAGACAUUUUCAUAUUCAACUGUAACUGCAAAAUUGCUGUAAACAAUAAUUGAAAAGGCCUUUUCAAAUAUAGAAGACAAUUCCUCAGUGUUUUAGUAGAAAGGGUUUUACCAGGAAAUGACAUGAAACUGGGCACUGAGCAGGAAAAUGAGAAAGGGAGAAAGAUGCAAAUGUUGACGUUUUGUUUGUGACAUGUAAAUAGUUUUGGCUGUUACAACCUUUUGUUUUUGCAUAAAUCAUAGUUAUGCCUGUUUGGCAAACACUGUAGAUAGUUUGUGGGGCUAUCUGCUCAUGACAAGAUUUAAGGCCAGAAACGUUUUUGCAAAGCAUAAUAAACUAACAUUACACACAUGUUCUAAUGGAAAUAUUUUUUUUAUGGCCAAUUUAUGAUAUCAACCACCAUAACCUUAUGAUUCCUUUUUUAUUUGUAACAGAAAGACUGUGUUAUAAACGUUACAUAGUCUCGCUUUAAAGCAAAGAGCAGCUGGGGCUUGAAGUGCAUGCAGCUUUUUUCUUUGCUCAUAUGACCCCUGUUAACUUUUUGGGGAAUAUUUGUGGUGGCCCCGCACUUGAGAGGACCACAAACAGUCAUUAGUGUUAACAAUGAGAACUCGCCAGUGUGUUGCAAUAAUGAUUAACUAUCACCCUGAUACAGCAGCUCUACUUCUGCAGAAUUUUGCUUAGUUCUGUCCCUCAGAGAGCAGUGUGUUUUCAGUAAUUCAAGACUUGUUGUAGAGAAAACACAGUUGCACCAACAGUAAAAACAAAACAAUCUUCUGAAUAAACUGAGCUGUAUGUGGACCAGAAAUGUUGACAAAUUCUUUCAUUUUGUGGGGAUCAUGCUCAAGUAUUGGACCAUUAGUCAAAUCAUACAUUGCAUUGAAUUAAAUUUAUUUUCAUUUAUAUGUUCUAUGCAAUGAAGUAAAAAUCUAAUUCAACUGAAUCACAAAAUUAUAUUUCUAACUAACUUUUUUACAAAUUAUCAAAUGUAAAGUUGUUGGCUAUAGAAACAAAAUGACUUCUGGCACUGAAACAAUAAAAAUGUCUGAAAGUUG